GAGAAGAACGUAGCGAAAUGCGAUAAGUAAUGUGAAUUGCAGAAUUCAGUGAAUCAUCGAAUCUUUGAACGCACAUUGCGCCCAUUAGUAUUCUAGUGGGCAUGCCUGUUCGAGCGUCAUUUCAACCCUUAAGCCCCUGUUGCUUAGCGUUGGGAGCCUACAGCCUGCUGUAGUUCCUCAAAGUUAGUGGCGGAGUCAGUUCACACUCUAGACGUAGUAAAAUCUUUAUCUCGCCUAUAGAUGAGCUGGCGCCUUGCCGUAAAAAACCCCUAAUCUUUUACAAGGUUGACCUCGGAUCAGGUAGGAAUACCCGCUGAACUUAAGCAUAUCAAUAAGCGGAGGA
This 343-nucleotide unclassified non-coding RNA is filed under the name soil metagenome. Its description in RNAcentral is "partial contains 5.8S ribosomal RNA, internal transcribed spacer 2, and large subunit ribosomal RNA". The stretch from base 3 to 119 matches the Rfam family "5.8S ribosomal RNA", at positions 38 to 154 of the family's 154-position model. The record is from RNAcentral.